AGGGUGUAAACGCUGCAGACUUGGUGUUGGAAGUCCUUUGGGGGUAUUCAGUGCCGGAGAGAAGUUGUUAAGUCUGCUACUUGGGGAGUACGUCCGCAAGGAUGAAACUUAAAGGAAUUGGCGGGGGAGCACCGCAACGGGAGGAGCGUGCGGUUUAAUUGGAUUCAACACCGGGAAGAUCACCGGAUAAGACAGCGGAAUGAUUGCCGGGCUGAAGACUCUGCAUGACUAGCUGAGAGGUGGUGCAUGGCGUAGACGUCU
RNAcentral lists this ribosomal RNA (261 nucleotides) under uncultured archaeon. RNAcentral describes it as "partial 16S ribosomal RNA". It matches the Rfam family "Archaeal small subunit ribosomal RNA", at positions 748 to 1009 of the family's 1478-position model. The record is from RNAcentral.